UACGGGGGGGGCAAGCGUUGUUCGGAAUUACUGGGCGUAAAGGGCUCGUAGGCGGCCAACUAAGUCAGACGUGAAAUCCCUCGGCUUAACCGGGGAACUGCAUCUGAUACUGGAUGGCUUGAGAUUGGGAGAGGGAUGCGGAAUUCCAGGUGUAGCGGUGAAAUGCGUAGAUAUCAGGAGGAACACCGGUGGCGAAGGCGGGUCUCUGGGCCGUAACUGACGCUGAGGAGCGAAAGCGUGGGGAGCAAACAGG
Molecule: ribosomal RNA, 253 nt
Filed under: uncultured bacterium
Lineage: Bacteria
Description: partial 16S ribosomal RNA
Rfam family: Bacterial small subunit ribosomal RNA
Source: RNAcentral